GGCGUAAGGGCUCGCAGGCGGUUUCUUAAGUCUGAUGUGAAAGCCUCCGGCUCAACCGGGGAGGGUCAUUGGAAACUGGGGAACUUGAGUGCAGAAGAGGAGAGUGGAAUUCCACGUGUAGCGGUGAAAUGCGUAGAGAUGUGGAGGAACACCAGUGGCGAAGGCGACUCUCUGGUCUGUAACUGACGCUGAGGAGCGAAAGCGUGGGGAGCGAACAGGAUUAGAUACCCUGGUAGUCCACGCCGUAAACGAUGAGUGCUAAGUGUUAGGGGGUUUCCGCCCCUUAGUGCUGCAGCUAACGCAUUAAGCACUCCGCCUGGGGAGUACGGUCGCUCGACUGAAACU
This 345-nucleotide ribosomal RNA is filed under the name Bacillus subtilis. RNAcentral's name for it is "bacterial SSU rRNA". It matches the Rfam family "Bacterial small subunit ribosomal RNA", at positions 557 to 901 of the family's 1533-position model. Lineage: Bacteria; Bacillati; Bacillota; Bacilli; Caryophanales; Bacillaceae. The record is from RNAcentral.